GGCGGCAUGCCUUACACAUGCAAGUCGAACGCGAAAGUAGGGGCAACCCUGCGAGUAGAGUGGCGAACGGGAGAGUAAUACAUCGGAACGUACCCAGUCGUGGGGGACAACCUGUCGAAAGAUAGGCUAAUACCGCAUACGACCUACGGGUGAAAGCGGAGGACCGCAAGGCUUCGCGCGAUUGGAGCGGCCGAUGUCGGAUUAGCUAGUUGGCGGGGUAAUAGCCCACCAAGGCGACGAUCCGUAGCUGGUUUGAGAGAACGACCAGCCUCACUGGGACUGAGACACGGCCCAGACUCCUACGGGAGGCAGCAGUGGGGAAUUUUGGACAAUGGGCGCAAGCCUGAUCCAGCCAUGCCGCGUGAGUGAAGAAGGCCUUCGGGUUGUAAAGCUCUUUCGGCCGGAACGAAAUCGCACCCGCUAACACCGGGUGUGGAUGACGGUACCGGAGUAAGAAGGANCGGCUAACUACGUGCCAGCAGCCGCGGUAAUACNUANGGUCCGAGCGUUAAUCGGAAUUACUGGGCGUAAAGCGUGCGCA
This 541-nucleotide ribosomal RNA is filed under the name uncultured beta proteobacterium. RNAcentral's name for it is "bacterial SSU rRNA". It matches the Rfam family "Bacterial small subunit ribosomal RNA", at positions 38 to 573 of the family's 1533-position model. Lineage: Bacteria; Pseudomonadati; Pseudomonadota; Betaproteobacteria. The record is from RNAcentral.